RNAcentral lists this ribosomal RNA (468 nucleotides) under uncultured bacterium. RNAcentral's name for it is "partial 16S ribosomal RNA". It matches the Rfam family "Bacterial small subunit ribosomal RNA", at positions 28 to 507 of the family's 1533-position model. The record is from RNAcentral.
GACGAACGCUGGCGGCGUGCUUAACACAUGCAAGUCGAACGGAAAGGCCCUGCUUUUGUGGGGCGCUCGAGUGGCGAACGGGUGAGUAACACGUGAGUAACCUGCCCUUGACUUUGGGAUAACUUCAGGAAACUGGGGCUAAUACCGGAUAGGAGCUCCUGCUGCAUGGUGGGGGUUGGAAAGUUUCGGCGGUUGGGGAUGGACUCGCGGCUUAUCAGCUUGUUGGUGGGGUAGUGGCUUACCAAGGCUUUGACGGGUAGCCGGCCUGAGAGGGUGACCGGCCACAUUGGGACUGAGAUACGGCCCAGACUCCUACGGGAGGCAGCAGUGGGGAAUAUUGCACAAUGGGCGGAAGCCUGAUGCAGCAACGCCGCGUGCGGGAUGACGGCCUUCGGGUUGUAAACCGCUUUCGCCUGCGACGAAGCGUGAGUGACGGUAAUGGGUAAAGAAGCACCGGCUAACUACGUG